This 408-nucleotide ribosomal RNA is filed under the name uncultured Methylomirabilota bacterium. RNAcentral's name for it is "bacterial SSU rRNA". It matches the Rfam family "Bacterial small subunit ribosomal RNA", at positions 1027 to 1434 of the family's 1533-position model. Lineage: Bacteria; Methylomirabilota (SeqCode). The record is from RNAcentral.
CGUGGAGACAGGUGGUGCAUGGCUGUCGUCAGCUCGUGUCGUGAGAUGUUGGGUUAAGUCCCGCAACGAGCGCAACCCUCACCUCUUGUUGCCAUCAGGUCAUGCUGGGCACUCUAGAGGAACUGCCCCGGUCAACGGGGAGGAAGGCGGGGAUGACGUCAAGUCAUCAUGCCCCUUACGUCCUGGGCUACACACGUGCUACAAUGGCCGGUACAAAGGGAUGCCACACCGCGAGGUAGAGCUAAGCCCAAAAAGCCGGUCUAAGUUCAGAUUGGAGUCUGCAACUCGACUCCAUGAAGGAGGAAUCGCUAGUAAUCGCGUAUCAGCACGACGCGGUGAAUACGUUCCCGGGCCUUGUACACACCGCCCGUCACACCACGAAAGCCUGCUGUACUCGAAGUCGCUGAG